GGAUUGUGGCGUCAGUAGAGCAUCUGGUGGAUGCCUUGGUGUACAUAGCUUAAGAAGGACGUUAACAACGAAAUUCGUGCGGAGCAAAAGCUACGAAGCACGAUUCUCCGAAUGGGGAAACCCGCUUGCAACAUCGCAAGCGUCUGUUUAGACAACAACGCGGGGAACUGAAACAUCUUAGUACCCGCAGGAACAAAAAUCUUUGAGAUUCCGUUAGUAGUGGUGAGCGAAAGCGGAACAGGCUAGGUUGGCUAGAGAAGAGGGGGUAAUUGUUUGGAACGGCAAGCUUGGACUGGUGAAGAGCCCAGGGCCCUUAACAUUCUGGUAGCUAAUGGAAAGUAGAACGGGACACGUGGAAUCUUGUUUGAAUAUGGGGGGACCACCUUCCAAGCCUAAAUACUAAUGUACAACCGAUAGCGAACUAGUACCGUGAGGGAAAGGUGAAACAAGAGUCUGGAAAAGACAGUGAAAUAGAACCUGAAAUCGGAUGCUUACAAUCAGUCGGAGGGUGUUUAGGCCUAACGACGUACCUUUUGUAUAAUGGGUCAACGAGUUAAUGUAGCGAGCACAGCUUAAGCUUUUAAAGUGUAGGCGUAGCGAAAGCGAGUCUUAAAAGGGCGGCAAAACAAGUUCGUUGCAUUAGACCCGAAACCGAGUGAUCUAACCAUGAACAGGCUGAAGGUCGGGUAACUCUGGCUGGAGGGCCGAACUCGUGUCUGUUGCAAAAGGCUGAGAUGAUUUGUGGUUAGGGGUGAAAGGCUAAUCAAACUCGGAGAUAGCUGGUUCUCUGCGAAAUCUAUUUAGGUAGAGUGCGAAGUCAACUUCUGCGGGGGUAGAGCUCUGGAUAGGUGAUGGGAGGUCAUACUUUACUAAUCUUAACCAAACUUCGAAUACCGUGGCAAGAUGCUUCGUAAACACACUGUGGGCGCUAACGUCCACAGUGGAGAGGGAAACAACCCAGACUUGUGGUUAAGGUCCUUAAAUCGUGACUAAAUGUGGAAGGCUGUGGACGCUCUUUGACAAUCAGGAUGUAGGCUUAGAAGCUGCCAUCAUUUUAAGAAAGCGUAACAGCUCACUGAUCGAUGAGAGUCUGCGCCGAAAAUGUAUCGGGACUAAGUCGCGUACCGAAGCCCAAGGCAUUACACAUCUUGUAAUGCGGUAGCAGAGCUUUCCGUAUGCUUGAGAAGGCAGCGUGUGAUAGCUGCUGGAGGCUUCGGAAGUGAGAAUGUUGACAUGAGUAACGUUAAUGAGAGUGAGAAACUUUCACGCCGAAUAGACUAAGGUUUCCUAUUGGUUUGAAACAAAAGUUGAUCUUAAUAGGGUAAGCCGGCACCUAAGGUGAAGCAGAACUGCGUAGCCGAUGGAAAUCGCGUUAAUAUUCGUGAGCCUGUUUUUGGGUGACUUGGCGAAGCCAUGGUUAAAACUGAUUGGAUUGUUUUAGCUUUGGCUGCGCCAACAGGAAAUAGCUCAAAAAGUUUUUGGCCGUACUAAAACCGACACAGGUAGUCUAGUAGAGAAUACUAAGGCGUAGAGUGAAUUGCGCUGAAGGAACUCGGCAAAAUACGCGCGUAACUUUGGGACAAGCGCGGCCUGAUUAGGGAAACCUGCUCAGGCGUAACACAAAUGGGGGGAGCGACUGUUUAUCAAAAACACAGGACUCUGCAAAAUCGUGAGAUGAAGUAUAGGGUCUGACGCCUGCCCGGUGCUGACAGGUAAACAUUGGAUGUUAAUAGCAUUUGGUUUAAGCCUCAGUAAACGGCGGCCGUAACUAUAACGGUCCUAAGGUAGCGAAAUUCCUUGUCGGAUAAGUUCCGACCCGCACGAAUGGCGUAACGACUUCCCUACUGUCUCCAGCGCAAGCUCAGUGAAAUUGAAUUCCCCGUGAAGAUGCGGGGUACCUGCGGUAAGACGGAAAGACCCCGUGCACCUUAACUAUAACCUUAUAUUGGCGUGGUCCGUGGUUUGUGUAGCGUAGGUGGGAGACGAUGAAGGGUUGGCGCUAGCUGGCUUGGAGUCGUUAAUGAAACACCACCCUAAUAGCGAAGAACGCCUUUACUGUAAUUUAGUAAGCUGAGUUCAGGACAAUGUAUGGUGGGUAGUUUGACUGGGGCGGUCGCCUCCUAAAAGGUAACGGAGGCGUGCGAAGGUAAACUCAAAACGGUUGGAAACCGUUUGUAGGAGCGCAAUGGUAUAAGUUUGCCUGACUGCGAGACUCACAAGUCAAGCAGAGACGAAAGUCGGUCAUAGUGAUCCGGUGGUUCUGUGUGGAAGGGCCAUCGCUCAACGGAUAAAAGGUACGCCGGGGAUAACAGGCUAAUAACCCCUGAGAGCUCUUAUCGACGGGGUUGUUUGGCACCUCGAUGUCGACUCAUCGCAUCCUGGGGCUGAAGAGGGUCCCAAGGGUAUGGCUGUUCGCCAUUUAAAGCGGUACGUGAGUUGGGUUCAGAACGUCGCGAGACAGUUCGGUCCCUAUCUACCGUGGGUGUAAGAGCGUUGACGAGGCCUGUCUCUAGUACGAGAGGACCGAGAUGGACGUACCUAUGGUGUUCCUGUUGUUUCGCCAGAAGCAUAGCAGGGUAGCUACGUACGGAAUGGAUAACUGCUGAAAGCAUCUAAGCGGGAAGCCAGCUCGAAGACGAACGCUCUAAAUUAGAGUCGUGAUAGAUUAUCACGUUGAUAGGCUAGGAGUGUAAGUGUGGUAACACAUUCAGCUUACUGGUACUAAAUACUCGAAAGCUCAGUGCAG
RNAcentral lists this ribosomal RNA (2746 nucleotides) under Candidatus Hodgkinia cicadicola. RNAcentral describes it as "23S ribosomal RNA". It matches the Rfam family "Bacterial large subunit ribosomal RNA". The record is from RNAcentral. Lineage: Bacteria; Pseudomonadati; Pseudomonadota; Alphaproteobacteria; Hyphomicrobiales.